GAUGAACGCUGGCGGCGUGCCUAAUACAUGCAAGUCGAGCGAACAGACGAGGAGCUUGCUCCUCUGACGUUAGCGGCGGACGGGUGAGUAACACGUGGAUAACCUACCUAUAAGACUGGGAUAACUUCGGGAAACCGGAGCUAAUACCGGAUAAUAUAUUGAACCGCAUGGUUCAAUAGUGAAAGACGGUUUUGCUGUCACUUAUAGAUGGAUCCGCGCCGCAUUAGCUAGUUGGUAAGGUAACGGCUUACCAAGGCAACGAUGCGUAGCCGACCUGAGAGGGUGAUCGGCCACACUGGAACGGAUACACGGUCCAGACUCCUACGAGAGGCAGCAGUAGGGAAUCUCCCGCAGUGGUCGAAAGCCUGACGGAGCAGCGCCGCGAGAGUGAUGAAGGUCUUCGGAUCGUAAAACUCUGUUAUUAGGGAAGAACAAAUGUGUAAGUAACUAUGCACGUCUUGACGGUACCUAAUCAGAAAGCCACGGCUAACUACGUG
RNAcentral lists this ribosomal RNA (497 nucleotides) under uncultured bacterium. Its description in RNAcentral is "partial 16S ribosomal RNA". It matches the Rfam family "Bacterial small subunit ribosomal RNA", at positions 28 to 507 of the family's 1533-position model. The record is from RNAcentral.